CAGCCGCCGCGGGAAUACGUAGGUGGCAAGCGUUGUCCGGAAUUAUUGGGCGUAAAGGGCUCGCAGGCGGUUUCUUAAGUCUGAUGUGAAAGCCCCCGGCUCAACCGGGGAGGGUCAUUGGAAACUGGGAAACUUGAGUGCAGAAGAGGAGAGUGGAAUUCCACGUGUAGCGGUGAAAUGCGUAGAGAUGUGGAGGAACACCAGUGGCGAAGGCGACUCUCUGGUCUGUAACUGACGCUGAGGAGCGAAAGCGUGGGGAGCGAACAGGAUUAGAUACCCCUAGUCCCGUCUCUUAUACACA
RNAcentral lists this ribosomal RNA (301 nucleotides) under uncultured bacterium. Its description in RNAcentral is "partial 16S ribosomal RNA". It matches the Rfam family "Bacterial small subunit ribosomal RNA", at positions 509 to 810 of the family's 1533-position model. The record is from RNAcentral.